This 457-nucleotide ribosomal RNA is filed under the name uncultured Exiguobacterium sp. Its description in RNAcentral is "bacterial SSU rRNA". It matches the Rfam family "Bacterial small subunit ribosomal RNA", at positions 992 to 1449 of the family's 1533-position model. The record is from RNAcentral. Lineage: Bacteria; Bacillati; Bacillota; Bacilli; Caryophanales.
UGACCGCUUGAGAGAUCAAGUUUUCCCUUCGGGGACAAUGGUGACAGGUGGUGCAUGGUUGUCGUCAGCUCGUGUCGUGAGAUGUUGGGUUAAGUCCCGCAACGAGCGCAACCCCUAUCCUUAGUUGCCAGCAUUGAGUUGGGCACUCUAGGGAGACUGCCGGUGACAAACCGGAGGAAGGUGGGGAUGACGUCAAAUCAUCAUGCCCCUUAUGAGUUGGGCUACACACGUGCUACAAUGGACGGUACAAAGGCCAGCGAGACCGCGAGGUGGAGCCAAUCCCAUAAAGCCGUUCCCAGUUCGGAUUGCAGGCUGCAACUCGCCUGCAUGAAGUCGGAAUCGCUAGUAAUCGCAGGUCAGCAUACUGCGGUGAAUACGUUCCCGGGUCUUGUACACACCGCCCGUCACACCACGAGAGUUUGCAACAUCCGAAGCCGGUGAGUAACCNACAAGGAGC